Long non-coding RNA from Oreochromis aureus, 905 nucleotides. RefSeq lists it as uncharacterized. The record is from RefSeq and is a predicted model, not a curated record. Lineage: Eukaryota; Metazoa; Chordata; Actinopteri; Cichliformes; Cichlidae. The transcript has 3 exons.
CACACGAGGAGGAACACGAUGUGUUCAGGUACUUCACGGAUGGGACUUCUCCUCAAAACUGUGUCGAGGGAGGGCAGAGGAUUCAGAAAACAUGUCAUCAUGAGCUCCGUUCCAAACCCACAUAUCCACCGUUCGGAGAAAAAGAGAAAAAUGCUGAUUAACGAGGGAAUAAAGAGGCAAAAGCAUCCAGCAGAGAAAGUCAACGUGGAACUGUAAACAAUCAAGAGAACAGCAAAUGUCAACAGUGGUGCUCUGAGAGUUGUGAUUUUGCUUUUUAACUAGACUUUUUCACCAUCACACUAAAGAGAAGUGGCUUCUGAACUCACUUCAGUCCAUGCAGCAGAAACAGAGAUGUUAAAUGAAAUACCAUAAAAACACUAUUUUUUUAAAAAUCGACAGAAACGUGUAAAUCAGAUUACGUUCUUUGCUACUUUGUUUUCUAACAUAGAGUACUGUGCAAAAAGCUCAAGCCACCAUUUAUUCCUUCAUGUCAGACUUCCCUGUCAGCAGCAUCUUUUAAAGUGUUUCUUUGGACAUUGGCUGCAUUUUGGCCCAUUUUUAGUCCAGUCCUUAUACCUGACCAUUUUCAGAACAAUGUUUGUUUGGUAACCUACUUAACACUGACCUUUGAAUCAUUCUAGAAUAAAAAAGGCACCUAAGUCAAGGGAUGAACCCGUGCUGUGUCUACACAUAACAGAGAUCUCAGCAAAAACAAUUUUUAAAUUGUAUCUUCACAAAAACACAUUUCUCAUUUCUUUAGUUGAAUCUAUAAAAUUGUCAAAGAUAACACAGUUUGAUGGAUAUAAGAUGGCAUCAUCGACAAGGUGACUCUCAAAGAACUAGUGUGAAACAUAUCUCAGCAUGGUGUGCAAUGUGUCCUUAAAAAUUUUGAGGAAACUGAAAAA